This 317-nucleotide ribosomal RNA is filed under the name uncultured bacterium. Its description in RNAcentral is "bacterial SSU rRNA". It matches the Rfam family "Bacterial small subunit ribosomal RNA", at positions 28 to 334 of the family's 1533-position model. The record is from RNAcentral.
GAUGAACGCUGGCGGCGUGCCUAAUACAUGCAAGUCGAGCGAACGGAUAAGGAGCUUGCUCCUUUGAAGUUAGCGGCGGACGGGUGAGUAACACGUGGGUAACCUACCUAUAAGACUGGGAUAACUUCGGGAAACCGGAGCUAAUACCGGAUAACAUUUAGAACCGCAUGGUUCUAAAGUGAAAGAUGGUUUUGCUAUCACUUAUAGAUGGACCCGCGCCGUAUUAGCUAGUUGGUAAGGUAACGGCUUACCAAGGCGACGAUACGUAGCCGACCUGAGAGGGUGAUCGGCCACACUGGAACUGAGACACGGUCCAG